AUGGUAGGAUAGAGGCCUACCAUGGUGGUAACGGGUAACGGGGUGUUAGGGCACGACACCGGAGAGGGAGCCUGAGAAACGGCUACCACAUCCAAGGAUGGCAGCAGGCGCGCAAAUUACCCAAUCCCGACACGGGGAGGUAGUGACAAUAAAUAACAAUACGGGUUCUUUAGGAUCUCGUAAUUGGAAUGAGUACAAUUUAAAUCUCUUAACGAGGAACAAUUGGAGGGCAAGUCUGGUGCCAGCAGCCGCGGUAAUUCCAGCUCCAAUAGCGUAUAUNAAAGUUGUUGCAGUUAAAAAGCUCGUAGUUGAAUUUCGGGGUCAGUAGGUCGGUCGUGCCACUGGUAUGAACUGGUUUUACUGAUUCCUCCCUCUUGAAGAACUGUAAUGCCAUUAAUUUGGUGUUGCAGGGAAUCAGGACUGUUACUUUGAAAAAAUUAGAGUGUUUAAAGCAGGCUUUAGCUUGAAUACAUUAGCAUGGAAUAAUGAAAUAGGACGUUUGAUCCUAUUUUGUUGGUUUCUAGGAUUGACGUAAUGAUUAAUAGGGAUAGUUGGGGGCAUUAGUAUUCAAUUGUCAGAGGUGAAAUUCUUGGAUUUAUUGAAGACUAACUACUGCGAAAGCAUUUGCCAAGGAUGUUUUCAUUAAUCAAGAACGAAAGUUAGGGGAUCGAAGACGAUCAGAUACCGUCGUAGUCUUAACCAUAAACUAUGCCGACUAGGGAUCGGAUGAUGUUAAUUUUUUAAUGACUCAUUCGGCGCCUUACGGGAAACCAAAGUGUUUGGG
Molecule: ribosomal RNA, 784 nt
Filed under: uncultured Glomus
Lineage: Eukaryota; Fungi; Glomeromycota; Glomeromycetes; Glomerales; Glomeraceae
Description: SSU rRNA
Rfam family: Eukaryotic small subunit ribosomal RNA
Source: RNAcentral